Molecule: ribosomal RNA, 1222 nt
Filed under: metagenome
Description: bacterial SSU rRNA
Rfam family: Bacterial small subunit ribosomal RNA
Source: RNAcentral
AGAGUUUGAUCCUGGCUCAGAAUCAACGCUGGCGGCGUGCGUAACACAUGCAAGUCGAACGAGAAAGCGGGGGCAACCCUGUGAGUAAAGUGGCAGACGGGUGAGUAACACGUGAACAAUCUACCCUCGAGCUGGGAAUAACCCCGCGAAAGCGGGGCUAAUACCUUGUGACAUCUUCGGGUCGCAUGGUCCGGAGAUUAAAGGUUUCGGCCGCUUGAAGAGGAGUUCGCGCCUGAUUAGCUAGUUGGUGAGGUAACGGCCCACCAAGGCAACGAUCAGUAGCCGGCCUGAGAGGGCGUACGGCCACACUGGAACUGAGACACGGUCCAGACUCCUACGGGAGGCAGCAGUGGGGAAUUUUGCGCAAUGGGCGAAAGCCUGACGCAGCAACGCCGCGUGGAGGAUGAAGGCCUUCGGGUCGUAAACUCCUGUCAGUAGGGACGAAUGCUUCGAAAGAAGUUUGACUGUACCUGCUGAGGAAGCCACGGCUAACUCCGUGCCAGCAGCCGCGGUAAUACGGAGGUGGCAAGCGUUGUUCGGAAUUAUUGGGCGUAAAGGGCGCGUAGGCGGCUUUGCAAGUCAGAUGUGAAAGCCCCGGGCUUAACUCGGGAAUUGCAUCUGAAACUGCUUAGCUUGAGUCCUGGAGGGGGUAGUGGAAUUCCCAGUGUAGCGGUGAAAUGCGUAGAUAUUGGGAGGAACACCGGCGGCGAAGGCGGCUACCUGGACAGUGACUGACGCUGAGGCGCGAAAGCUAGGGGAGCGAACGGGAUUAGAUACCCCGGUAGUCCUAGCCGUAAACGAUGGGCACUUGGUGUUGGGGGUAUUGAGUCCCCCGGUGCCGGAGUUAACACGUUAAGUGCCCCGCCUGGGGAGUACGGUCGCAAGACUGAAACUCAAAGGAAUUGACGGGGGCCCGCACAAGCGGUGGAGCAUGUGGUUCAAUUCGACGCAACGCGAAGAACCUUACCGAGGCUCGAACGGUAACUGCAAUUCUUGGAAACAGGAAGUUCUCUUCGGAGACGGUUAUCGAGGUGCUGCAUGGCUGUCGUCAGCUCGUGUCGUGAGAUGUUGGGUUAAGUCCCGCAACGAGCGCAACCCUUGCCCUUAGUUGCCAUCAGGUUAUGCUGGGCACCCUAAGGGAACUGUCGGCGAAAAGCCGGAGGAAGGUGGGGAUGACGUCAAGUCCUCAUGGCCCUUACGUCUCGGGCUACACACGUGCUAC